AGUGAACGCUGGCGGUAGGCCUAACACAUGCAAGUCGAGCGGCAGCACAGUAAGAGCUUGCUCUUACGGGUGGCGAGUGGCGGACGGGUGGGGAAUACAUCGGAAUCUACUUUUUCGUGGGGGAUAACGUAGGGAAACUUACGCUAAUACCGCAUACGACCUACGGGUGAAAGCAGGGGAUCUUCGGACCUUGCGCGAUUGAAUGAGCCGAUGUCCGAUUAGCUAGUUGGCGGGGUAAAGGCCCACCAAGGCGACGAUCCGUAGCUGGUCUGAGAGGAUGAUCAGCCACACUGGAACUGAGACACGGUCCAGACUCCUACGGGAGGCAGCAGUGGGGAAUAUUGGACAAUGGGCGCAAGCCUGAUCCAGCCAUACCGCGUGGGUGAAGAAGGCCUUCGGGUUGUAAAGCCCUUUUGUUGGGAAAGAAAAGCAGCAGGUUAAUACCCCGCUGUUCUGACGGUACCCAAAGAAUAAGCACCGGCUAACUUCGUG
RNAcentral lists this ribosomal RNA (492 nucleotides) under uncultured bacterium. RNAcentral describes it as "partial 16S ribosomal RNA". It matches the Rfam family "Bacterial small subunit ribosomal RNA", at positions 29 to 507 of the family's 1533-position model. The record is from RNAcentral.